RNAcentral lists this ribosomal RNA (253 nucleotides) under uncultured bacterium. Its description in RNAcentral is "partial 16S ribosomal RNA". It matches the Rfam family "Bacterial small subunit ribosomal RNA", at positions 524 to 776 of the family's 1533-position model. The record is from RNAcentral.
UACGUAGGCAGCGAGCGUUGUUCGGAGUUACUGGGCGUAAAGGGUGUGUAGGCGGUUUUCUAAGUUUGGUGUGAAAUCUCCCGGCUCAACCGGGAGGGUGCGCCGAAAACUGGGAGACUAGAGUGCGGGAUGGGAGAGUAGAAUUCCUGGUGUAGCGGUGAAAUGCGUAGAGAUCGGGAGGAACACCAGAGGCGAAGGCGGCGACCUGGACAAGCACUGACACUCAACUACGAAAGCGUGGGGAGCAAACAGG